Molecule: ribosomal RNA, 415 nt
Filed under: uncultured bacterium
Lineage: Bacteria
Description: bacterial SSU rRNA
Rfam family: Bacterial small subunit ribosomal RNA
Source: RNAcentral
AUUGAACGCUGGCGGCAUGCUUUACACAUGCAAGUCGAACGGUAACAGGCCUUCGGGUGCUGACGAGUGGCGAACGGGUGAGUAAUGCAUCGGAACGUGCCCAAUCGUGGGGGGAUAACGUAGCGAAAGUUACGCUAAUACCGCAUAAGCCCUGAGGGGGGAAAGUGGGGGACCCGCAAGGCCUCACGCGAAUGGAGCGGCCGAUGUCAGAUUAGCUAGUUGGUGGGGUAAAGGCCCACCAAGGCGACGAUCCGUAGCGGGUCUGAGAGGACGACCCGCCACACUGGAACUGAGACACGGUCCAGACUCCUACGGGAGGCAGCAGUGGGGAAUUUUGGACAAUGGGGGCAACCCUGAUCCAGCCAUUCCGCGUGAGUGAAGAAGGCCUCGGUUGUAAGCACUUUGUUGGGUAGAA